This 998-nucleotide ribosomal RNA is filed under the name Aspiciliella intermutans. Its description in RNAcentral is "SSU rRNA". It matches the Rfam family "Bacterial small subunit ribosomal RNA", at positions 398 to 1209 of the family's 1533-position model. Lineage: Eukaryota; Fungi; Ascomycota; Lecanoromycetes; Pertusariales; Megasporaceae. The record is from RNAcentral.
CACUUGGAGGAUGUAUAGCGAAAGCUAGUUGCAUUAAAUUCGAUUAAUUCGAAGUUAUUGCAGCAUCGACUAUGUCGAAUAAAGUUCUAGGUAGAGUUAUGAUAAUGACAUUUUCUAUCUAUGUGUCUUGACCAAAUCACGUGCCAGCAGUCGCGGUAAUACGUGGAAGACUAGUGUUAUUCAUCUUUAAUAGGUUUAAAGGGUACUUAGACGGUAUUUUUAGCCCAAAUAAAAACAAAGGGUACUAAUUAUACUAGAGUUUUAUGAGUGGGGGGUGCGUACGAAUGGUGUAGAGAUGAAAUUCUGUCAUACCAUUAUGACAGGCGACGGCGAAAGCAACCUUUAGUUAAAAACUGACGUUAAAGGACGAAGGCUUUGUAUCACCAACAGGAUUAGAUACCCAAGCAGUCUAAGCAGACAAUUAUGAAUGCCAUAGAUAAGAAAUCCAUAGAUAAAGAAGAAAACAUGUACUUUUCAGAAUGCCCUUUUUGGGCAUUGGUUUAUUAAAAAAAAUAAACUUCUCCUCUUCACUUCUUCAUUUAUUGAAGAAAGAGAGAAGUCGAGAUGAAAAAAAUGGCUCGUAAUCUUAUCCAUCAUCAUCAUCUUUCAGAUGAUGAAGAAUACAUUUCUUUUAGACAUCGACUAUGUCGAAGUUAACAAAAAAAGAAAUAGGAUGUAUUUUUGUCUAUAAAUGAAAGUGUAAGCAUUCCACCUCAAGAGUAAAGUGGCAACGCACAAACUGAAAUCAUUAGACCGUUUCUGAAACCAGUAGUGAAGUAUGUUGUUUAAUUUGAUGGUCCGCAAAAAACCUUACCACAAUUUGUAUAUUAUUAGCUUAAUACAAGAGUUGCACGGCUGUCUUCAGUUAAUGUCGUGAGAUUUUGGUUAGUUCCAUAAAAUUAACGUAAACCCUUACUUUAUUUAUAUUAUAAAGUAGUUCACCACUAUAUUGGAUAUGAUAAGAGGGACUAAGACAAGUCAUCAUGGCCUGAAUAUUG